This 444-nucleotide ribosomal RNA is filed under the name uncultured bacterium. RNAcentral's name for it is "SSU rRNA". It matches the Rfam family "Bacterial small subunit ribosomal RNA", at positions 26 to 518 of the family's 1533-position model. The record is from RNAcentral.
AGAGCGAACGCUGGCGGCAGGCCUAACACAUGCAAGUCGAGCGCCCCGCAAGGGGAGCGGCAGACGGGAGAGUAACACGUGGGAACGUACCCUUCAGUUCGGAACAACCCAGGGAAACUUGGGCUAAUACCGAAUACGUCCGUAAGGAGAAAGAUUUAUCGCUGAAGGAUCGGCCCGCGUCUGAUUAGCUAGUUGGUGGGGUAAUGGCCCACCAAGGCGACGAUCAGUAGCUGGUCUGAGAGGAUGAUCAGCCACACUGGGACUGAGACACGGCCCAGACUCCUACGGGAGGCAGCAGUGGGGAAUAUUGGACAGUGGGCGCAAGCCUGAUCCAGCCAUGCCGCGUGAGUGAUGAAGGCCUUCGGGUUGUAAAGCUCUUUUGGCGGGGACGAUGAUGACGGUACCCGCAGAAUAAGCCCCGGCUAACUUCGUGCCAGCAGCCGC